Strongylocentrotus purpuratus (purple sea urchin) is the source of this 565-nucleotide long non-coding RNA. RefSeq lists it as uncharacterized. The transcript is spliced from 3 exons. NCBI's taxonomy places the organism in Eukaryota, Metazoa, Echinodermata, Echinoidea, Camarodonta, Strongylocentrotidae. The record is from RefSeq and is a predicted model, not a curated record.
UGUAUUCGCAUCGAUUAGAGAUACUCUUAGAUAAGUUAUCUAAGCGUCCAGUCAUUUCGUCGUAGCUUUGGAACGAUAUCACUUUAAUCAAAAUGAAGCCAAUGAUGUUUACUCUGUGUAUAUUGCUGUGUGCAAUGCUGAUUACUGUCGAAGGCCGCCGACACAAGCGGUCAAGCAGCGCAUCAAGUAGUAGCGAAAGCGAAUCAACUGAAACAGGUACGGGCACAGGUACUGGAACUGGUACAGAUACGGGAACUGAAACCGGCGGAGACGCUCCAGCUGUUACGAUCCCCGUUGCGACCCCAGCAGGAACUACUGCACCAGCAGUAACAGUAACAACACCACCUUAGCGGAAUCUUUCGUUACAAACAAAUCUUCCUUUCUGCCGUUUUCCACGGGUGCAAUUUUCUGAUGAGUAGCUCGAUUUGUUUAUAGUAAAAUGUGUUCACAGUGCUUUUACACACCUCAUCAAUGAUGUCAUAGGCUAUGUCUCUGAAAUACGGGUACCUAUUUAAGGUAUUUAGGGGGAAACCAGUGCAAGGUGUUCAGAAUGACUUGUAAAAGA